GGAUAACUCCGGGAAACCGGGGCUAAUACCGAAUAAUUAGUUCCUUCGCAUGAAGGAACUCUGAAAGACGGCUAUGCUGUCACUACRGGAUGGGCCCGCGGCGCAUUAGCUAGUUGGUGAGGUAACGGCUUACCAAGGCGACGAUGCGUAGCCGACCUGAGAGGGUGAUCGGCCACACUGGGACUGAGACACGGCCCAGACUCCUACGGGAGGCAGCAGUAGGGAAUCUUCCACAAUGGACGAAAGUCUGAUGGAGCAACGCCGCGUGAGCGAAGAAGGUUUUCGGAUCGUAAAGCUCUGUUGUGAGGGAAGAACAAGUAYAGGAGUAACUGCCUGUACCUUGACGGUACCUCAUUAKAAAGCCACGGCUAACUACGUGCCAGCAGCCGCGGUAAUA
RNAcentral lists this ribosomal RNA (397 nucleotides) under Bacillus sp. LMG 22256. Its description in RNAcentral is "bacterial SSU rRNA". It matches the Rfam family "Bacterial small subunit ribosomal RNA", at positions 141 to 525 of the family's 1533-position model. Lineage: Bacteria; Bacillati; Bacillota; Bacilli; Caryophanales; Bacillaceae. The record is from RNAcentral.